GACGAACGCUGGCGGCGUGCUUAACACAUGCAAGUCGAACGGAAAGGCCCUGCUUUUGUGGGGUGCUCGAGUGGCGAACGGGUGAGUAACACGUGAGUAACCUGCCCUUGACUUUGGGAUAACUUCAGGAAACUGGGGCUAAUACCGGAUAGGAGCUCCUGCUGCAUGGUGUGGGUUGGAAAGUUUCGGCGGUUGGGGAUGGACUCGCGGCUUAUCAGCUUGUUGGUGGGGUAGUGGCUUACCAAGGCUUUGACGGGUAGCCGGCCUGAGAGGGUGACCGGCCACAUUGGGACUGAGAUACGGCCCAGACUGCUACGGGAGGCAGCAGGGGGGAAUAUUGCACAAUGGGCGGAAGCCUGAUGCAGCAACGCCGCGUGCGGGAUGACGGCCUUCGGGUUGUAAACCGCUUUCGCCUGUGACGAAGCGUGAGUGACGGUAAUGGGUAAAGAAGCACCGGCUAACUACGUG
This 468-nucleotide ribosomal RNA is filed under the name uncultured bacterium. Its description in RNAcentral is "partial 16S ribosomal RNA". It matches the Rfam family "Bacterial small subunit ribosomal RNA", at positions 28 to 507 of the family's 1533-position model. The record is from RNAcentral.